UACGUAGGGGGCAAGCGUUAUCCGGAAUUACUGGGUGUAAAGGGAGAGUAGGCGGCAUGAUAAGUUAGAUGUGAAAGCCCGGGGCUUAACCUCGGGAUUGCAUUUAAAACUAUUGAGCUAGAGUACAGGAGAGGAAAGCGGAAUUCCUAGUGUAGCGGUGAAAUGCGUAGAUAUUAGGAAGAACACCAGUGGCGAAGGCGGCUUUCUGGACUGAAACUGACGCUGAGGCUCGAAAGCGUGGGGAGCGAACAGG
Molecule: ribosomal RNA, 253 nt
Filed under: uncultured bacterium
Lineage: Bacteria
Description: partial 16S ribosomal RNA
Rfam family: Bacterial small subunit ribosomal RNA
Source: RNAcentral